CCUACGGGAGGCAGCAGUGAGGAAUAUUGGUCAAUGGGCGAGAGCCUGAACCAGCCAAGUCGCGUGAGGGAGUACUGCCCUAUGGGUUGUAAACCUCUUUUGUCGGGGAGCAAAAGCCGGACGUGUCCGGCUGUGAGAGUACCCGAAGAAAAAGCAUCGAUUAACUCCGUGCCAGCAGCCGCGGUAAUACGGAGGAUGCGAGCGUUAUCCGGAUUUAUUGGGUUUAAAGGGUGCGCAGGCGGAUUUUUAAGUCAGCGGUAAAAUCGUGGGGCUCAACCCCAUCCAGCCGUUGAAACUGGGGAUCUAGAGUGUGCGAGAGGUAUGCGGAAUGCGUGGUGUAGCGGUGAAAUGCAUAGAUAUCACGCAGAACCCCGAUUGCGAAGGCAGCAUACCGGUGCACAACUGACGCUCAGGCACGAAAGCGUGGGUAUCGAACAGGAUUAGAUACCCUUGUAGUC
This 458-nucleotide ribosomal RNA is filed under the name uncultured bacterium. RNAcentral describes it as "partial 16S ribosomal RNA". It matches the Rfam family "Bacterial small subunit ribosomal RNA", at positions 338 to 795 of the family's 1533-position model. The record is from RNAcentral.